Molecule: long non-coding RNA, 404 nt
Filed under: Mytilus galloprovincialis (Mediterranean mussel)
Lineage: Eukaryota; Metazoa; Mollusca; Bivalvia; Mytilida; Mytilidae
Source: RNAcentral
UUAAGGUAGCACUACAGUCUAACAAUGAUUUUUUAAAGAUAUUUUUUUUAUCACAUAAUUUUGAAGUAAGAACUAUUCUGCACAGUUUAUAAAAAUCCCAGAGUCAUUAUCAUAUCACAACAGGGAGUAAAUUGAUAAUGAACUUAUGUAAAUAAAACCACAAGGCAAUUAAUCUAAAUGUAUAGGCAUUUGGGAGGGGCUAAUAUGUCAAUCAUCUGUUGAUACCAGUGUCCAGCUGUUAAUCCCUGACCACAAGAUAAAUAUUGUAGUCUUAUCUUAUGUUUUUGCAACAAUCUUAUUGUUUUGCAAAAAAAAUAAUUUAUAUAACAUGGAAGUGAACAAAGAAAAAGAAAAAAUCUAAAAGGAAAAAAUCUACAAAAAAUGAAAUAAAAUUAAUAUGGUAC